This 76-nucleotide transfer RNA is filed under the name Thermoanaerobacter kivui. RNAcentral describes it as "tRNA-Thr". Lineage: Bacteria; Bacillati; Bacillota; Clostridia; Thermoanaerobacterales; Thermoanaerobacteraceae. The record is from RNAcentral.
UGGAGCCCGCGACCGGGAUCGAACCGGUGACCUCCGCCUUACCAAGGCGACGCUCUGCCUACUGAGCUACGUGGGC